Molecule: ribosomal RNA, 119 nt
Filed under: Salmo salar (Atlantic salmon)
Lineage: Eukaryota; Metazoa; Chordata; Actinopteri; Salmoniformes; Salmonidae
Source: RNAcentral
GCUUAUGGCCAUAUCAGCCUGGGUACGCCCGAUCUCGUCUGAUCUCGGAAGCUAAGCAGGGUCGGGCCUGGUUAGUACUUGGAUGGGAGACCGCCUGGGAAAACCAGGUGCUGUAAGCA